This is a long non-coding RNA of Rosa chinensis, 217 nucleotides long. RefSeq lists it as uncharacterized. The transcript is spliced from 3 exons. The record is from RefSeq and is a predicted model, not a curated record. Lineage: Eukaryota; Viridiplantae; Streptophyta; Magnoliopsida; Rosales; Rosaceae.
UGAUUGAGCAAAGGAGAAGAGAACGGCUUUGGGCUUGGGUUUGUCAGUCAUGGUAUACAGAAUUUCGUGGAGCAGUUCCUACUAGACUUGCACAGGACUUGGCAUUUUCAAUUGCAAGGUUUAUACAAAUGGUGGUUCUUUUGCCAACUACUACAUGUACCAUGGAGGAACGGAUUUUGGCCUAACUGCUGGCUGUCUCUUCAUUGCAACUAGCUAU